UAUAAGGCUUCGGAAAGCCUGCUCCCGGGCUCUCGCUUGCAUUUCCAUCUCCGGUCCUCCGACGCCCGAGACAAACCCUCUGUUGCGCUCCGUGUGGAAAGGAAGAUGGCGAGCUCUCAGUGCUGUGCGAACCCACCGACGCUGAGCCCCGGCAGCGGCCAAGGCUGCGUGGUGGACGAUCUCGGGGGCCUCAAGGCCUACACCGCCGGCUCCCCCGAUUCCAAGCUGGCCAUCAUUCUCGUCUCCGACGUCUAUGGGUUUGAAGCUCCAAAUUUGAGGAAAAUUGCAGACAAAGCUGCAGCUUCAGGAUUCUUUGUGGUGGUGCCAGAUUUCUUAUAUGGGGACCCUUACUCACCUAACAAUGCUGAGAGGCCAUUGCCUAUCUGGAUACAAUCUCAUACUACAGCUAAAGGUUUUGAAGAUGCAAAACCAGUUAUUGCAGCUUUAAAAAGUAAGGGCAUUUCUGCAGUCGGGGCUGCAGGUUUUUGCUGGGGUGCUAAAGUUGUUGUGGAAUUGGCGAAAGCUGCUGAGAUCCAAGCUGCGGUGUUCUUACAUCCUUCAUUUGUGUCUGUUGAUGAUAUCAAGGAGGUUAAAUGCCCCAUUGCUAUACUUGGAGCUGAGUUCGACCAUCUUUCUCCACCUGAAUUAGUGAAGCAGUUUGAGCAGAUUUUAUCUGCAAAAACUGGGGGAGUAAUAGUUGGCAUGAGGUGCUGUGGUGGAUAAGUGCAGUUACGGACGCAUUCAGAACUAUUUGGUGCAGGGUGCAACUGUCAGGGCACAGAACACAGAAAAAGUCAAAAUUUUUUGUACCUUUCAAGUUAGUUACUUUGUAAAGAUAUUUCCAGGCGUGGCUCACGGAUGGUCUGUCAGAUACAAGGUGGAUGAUGCAUCUGCUGUUAAAAGUGCUGAAGAGGCUCAUCAAGACAUGCUUGACUGGUUUGCUAAGCAUGUCAAGUAACAUCUUCAAAACAGUGCUUUGUCCUGCACUUCAGUAGACCUUGUUGGACUAGUAUGAAUUGAAAUAUACUCAAGGAUUUUUCCGGUGUUGCUUAAGCAUACAAAACUGGUUUCAACAUUCAUGACAAAGGCUCAAAGCUUUUCCCAUUUACCAUUCCAACUGCUGAUUGCAUAAAUUAAUAUUAUGGUGUGUGUUUUAAUGGCUCUUA
This is a non-coding RNA of Phoenix dactylifera (date palm), 1166 nucleotides long. Lineage: Eukaryota; Viridiplantae; Streptophyta; Magnoliopsida; Arecales; Arecaceae. The record is from RefSeq and is a predicted model, not a curated record.